CCGCACCGUACUGGGCGGGGGUCUGGGGAGCGCAGCAGCCAUGGCAAGCUGUCUCCUGCUCAACAACGGCGCCAAGAUGCCCAUCCUGGGGUUGGGUACCUGGAAGUCCCCUCCAGGGCAGGUGACUGAGGCCGUGAAGGUGGCCAUUGACGUCGGGUACCGCCACAUCGACUGUGCCCAUGUGUACCAGAAUGAGAAUGAGGUGGGGGUGGCCAUUCAGGAGAAGCUCAGGGAGCAGGUGGUGAAGCGUGAGGAGCUCUUCAUCGUCAGCAAGCUGUGGUGCACGUACCAUGAGAAGGGCCUGGUGAAAGGAGCCUGCCAGAAGACACUCAGCGACCUGAAGCUGGACUACCUGGACCUCUACCUUAUUCACUGGCCGACUGGCUUUAAGCCUGGGAAGGAAUUUUUCCCGUUGGAUGAGUCGGGCAAUGUGGUUCCCAGUGACACCAACAUUCUGGACACGUGGGUGGCCAUGGAAGAGCUGGUGGAUGAAGGGCUGGUGAAAGCUAUUGGCAUCUCCAACUUCAACCAUCUCCAGGUGGAGACGAUCUUAAACAAACCUGGCUUGAAGUAUAAGCCUGCAGUUAACCAGAUUGAGUGCCACCCAUAUCUCACUCAGGAGAAGUUAAUCCAGUACUGCCAGUCCAAAGGCAUCGUGGUGACCGCCUACAGCCCCCUCGGCUCUCCUGACAGGCCCUGGGCCAAGCCCGAGGACCCUUCUCUCCUGGAGGAUCCCAGGAUCAAGGCGAUCGCAGCCAAGCACAAUAAAACUACAGCCCAGGUACAGCCACUUCAGGUGUUCCUGACCGUCCACAACUGCCUGCAUUCCUGAUAGUCCUGUUAGCCAAGAGGAGGAAGUGACUGAGCCUGUUACACCCUCACAGGAAGUAUGGUUAGGGGUCCUCAAGUACAGAGUGGAAAGGGCACAGAUCGGGGUUUUAGAAGACUCUGGCAUGGGCUCUUAGAUUAAUAGUGCCUGUCCCCACUACUCCAAGGGUGACUGCCACGAGGGCCAGCGCUUGUUCAUUGAUGUGGAAGCUCAUCUGUACAAAUGUAAGAGCUCUUAGCUGUGCAGGGAAUGUUCUUUCUCCUGAGUGGCAGUGUGCAUUUCUAGCCAGUGGAGGGCCUCUUGUGGUCUCAUGAUAUGCCUGAGACACUGAAGAGUGUGGCACAGUGGCUAGCGCAGGACUCGAGUCAGAUCUGGACCUGAAUGCGUCGCCUACCUGUUGCUAGCUGUGACCUGACAUCUUGGAGCCCCUCUCUGAUCACCUGUGGAGUUCUAGCACGUCCUUCUGCAGGUUGUGUGUGUGAGAGACUGAGAUCAUGGGUGCGAGUGCCUGGCAUGUAUACACGCUCACUGUCUCCCUGGGCUCACAGGUCCUGAUCCGGUUCCCCAUGCAGAGGAACUUGGUGGUGAUCCCCAAGUCUGUGACACCAGAACGCAUUGCUGAGAACUUUAAGGUCUUUGACUUUGAACUGAGCAGCCAGGAUAUGACCACCUUACUCAGCUACAACAGGAACUGGAGGGUCUGUGCCUUGUUGAGCUGUACCUCCCACAAGGAUUACCCCUUCCAUGAAGAGUUUUGAAGCUGUGGUUGUCUGCUCGUCCCCAAGUGACCUAUACCUGUGUUUUCUGCCUCAUUUUUUUCCUUGCAAAUGUAGUAUGGCCUGUGUCACUCAGCGGGACAGCAACCUGUAGAGUGGCCAGCGAGGGCGUGUCUAGGUUGAUGUUGGAUCUCAAGAGCCCUGUCAGUAGAGUAGAAGUCUCUUCCAGUUUGCUUUGCCCUUCUUUCUACCCUGCUGGGGAAAGUACAACCUGAAUACCCUUUUCUGACCAAAGAGAAGCAAAAUCUACCAGGUCAAAAUAGUGCCACUAACAGUUGAGUUUUGACUGCUUGGAACUGUAAUCCUUUCAGCAAGACUUC
This 1925-nucleotide small RNA is filed under the name Pan troglodytes (chimpanzee). RNAcentral describes it as "retained intron". The record is from RNAcentral. Lineage: Eukaryota; Metazoa; Chordata; Mammalia; Primates; Hominidae.